RNAcentral lists this ribosomal RNA (455 nucleotides) under uncultured Streptococcus sp. RNAcentral's name for it is "bacterial SSU rRNA". It matches the Rfam family "Bacterial small subunit ribosomal RNA", at positions 925 to 1382 of the family's 1533-position model. Lineage: Bacteria; Bacillati; Bacillota; Bacilli; Lactobacillales; Streptococcaceae. The record is from RNAcentral.
ACAAGCGGUGGAGCAUGUGGUUUAAUCGAAGCAACGCGAAGAACCUUACCAGGUCUUGACAUCCCGAUGCUAUUUCUAGAGAUAGAAAGUUACUUCGGUACAUCGGUGACAGGUGGUGCAUGGUUGUCGUCAGCUCGUGUCGUGAGAUGUUGGGUUAAGUCCCGCAACGAGCGCAACCCCUAUUGUUAGUUGCCAUCAUUCAGUUGGGCACUCUAGCGAGACUGCCGGUAAUAAACCGGAGGAAGGUGGGGAUGACGUCAAAUCAUCAUGCCCCUUAUGACCUGGGCUACACACGUGCUACAAUGGUUGGUACAACGAGUUGCGAGUCGGUGACGGCGAGCUAAUCUCUUAAAGCCAAUCUCAGUUCGGAUUGUAGGCUGCAACUCGCCUACAUGAAGUCGGAAUCGCUAGUAAUCGCGGAUCAGCACGCCGCGGUGAAUACGUUCCCGGGCCUU